Molecule: ribosomal RNA, 252 nt
Filed under: uncultured bacterium
Lineage: Bacteria
Description: partial 16S ribosomal RNA
Rfam family: Bacterial small subunit ribosomal RNA
Source: RNAcentral
UACGUAGGGGGCAAGCGUUGUCCGGAUUUAUUGGGCGUAAAGAGCGUGUAGGCGGCUUGGUAGGUCUCGCGUCAAAACCUGAGGCUCAACCUCAGUUCGCGUGGGAAACCACCUAGCUAGAGUCCGGAAGAGGAGAACGGAAUUCCCAGUGUAGCGGUGAAAUGCGCAGAUAUUGGGAAGAACACCAGUGGCGAAGGCGGUUCUCUGGGACGGUACUGACGCUGAGGAGCGAAAGCGUGGGGAGCAAACAGG